CCUGGCCCCGGCCCCUGGCCCCCAUCCCGACCCCCAACCCCCGCCACGGUCCCGGUCCGGGCCCUCCCGCGCUUCCCCGCCUCCCAGCCUACCUGCAGCCUCCGAAAAGCGCGGGGCCGGAUGUGCGCCUGCGCGCUGCUUACGGGCUCGGGCCCGCGCCGUGCGUGCGUGCGUGGGGCGCGCCGGAGGUGGGGGCGGUGCCUGGUGAGGAUCCGGGCAGCGGCUGGCGGCGCGGGCAUCAGCCUGGGGCUCAGGAGACUCGGAGACGCUGAGGGUAGAGCCCAGUUCAGAGGACCCCCGCAGAAGGCGCCUUACCUGCGCGGCCCUGGGCAGCUCAGGGAGCGCGGUGCAGCCGCAGGCCGGGCCAGGCAGGUGGCGGCGCGGUCAGGUCGACUUGACACGGGGGGCGUGGGGGGGGGGGAGCGGUACCCCUCCUCGGAGCAAGUGGAGGCCGGGUCCCCGCGAGCCCGUGGCGGUGCCCCUCUUCCGCCCUGUCUGUUCUCUACGUUAGCAGGUGGGUGCUGGACAAAGCUUACCCACUGGCCAUGAGGACGGAGUAGAGGAGCGUGCAAAUCGACAUGCAUCUUUAAGACAGAAUAAGGGACUCCGAACGCCUGCUCGGCCUGAGUCUGGCAGCUCAGAUCUAUCCCUCAGCCAGAACACCCCGCCCCCGCCCCCGCCCCGCGCUCUUUAGGGACACUUUCGUGGAAGGAAGCCUUUGGAAAACACUCCAUUGCUGCCUUGGACUUUGUUUUGGAGCAAGGCUUCAGAGGACAGUAGCAUGCUCAGAUUAGUGAAUUGCGUUUUCAGACCAAGAAACAGAAUAGCCACUGGCAACGACCUGUGCUGUCAUUAAUGUCAUCGUGUCACAUAACUCUGGAGGCAAUUCCGGGCCUGAUCACGCGCCCUAAGGAUGUCCUGAGGGUACACAUUUCCACUCUGCCAUGUCCCCCCUCCCCCCACCAUCUCCCGUGACUUUUCCCUCCAGGUUUGUCACCUCACUGUUCCGAGAAGGCCCCCACGAUCCAAGGAACGCAGCCUCACACUGCCCCAUUUAAAGCGGGAAGAAGGGGCCAAACUAGGAAAGACCUUUCACCCCUGAAUACUUCUCUUUCGGCAAAAGGAAGGAGUGUUUUGUUUUUGUUUUUGUUUUUCCCAGGAAGCCCCAGUAGCCUGCGUCUUCCUCUCCUUGGCUCACCGAUCUUGGGUUAUCCAUCCUGAGAGCGGAAAAUAACAGCACGUGACAUUUAAAUGCAAGGCCUGAAGAAGUGGGAGGCAAAAAAUAUUUCAAAGACCUUUCUUCUAGCAGCUUUUAAAUGGGCACAAAAUAAAAGGGAUUGGACAAUAUAUUUUUUUAAACAGGCGAUCACAAGUGAAACCGCUCACAAUUCAUUUCUUGGCUUAAGUAGGAAUAACAGACUUUUUAUUCUAAAGGCUCAUAAUUUAUUAGCUAAUUGUCUAAUUAUCAUAAUUACUCAAAAUAUAGAGAAUAAAAAUAAAAGAAAUUUAAAUGGAAACUUAUCUCCAGGCUGACUCAGUUGUGCGUUUACUAGCUGUUUUUCCACUUGUAUAUUUAGAAAUCACCAUAUGCUGUUAGGGUAAUUGGCAAUAAAUUUAGUAAAUUUAAAUAAAUAUUAUUAGGAUAGUUAGCAGUUUUUGGUGACUUUCAUCACUUAUGUUUUAAUGAUAGCAUUUGGAGAAUUCACACAAACCGCUGUCUUACCAUCCUAAGAGUUUUGUUCAAAUACUGAAUUACAUUUAUGGUCUCCAGAGCUGUUUUUCAACAAGUGACACGAGCAUUGCCAUUUCACUUUUGUGCCUUUGAUACAAAAGCAUUUCCCAAUCCAGCAGUUUCCAUCUUCCUGCAUUGCUGGCGGAAGUAUAAGUCACUUCCGUACUCUCCCCGAACUCAGCCUCCUCCACAUCUAUGUAAGGGGAGUAAACUUCUCUAACUCAGAAGCUCUUCUAAGACUUGCGAUUAAUACGCGAUAUCAUAAAUCCUCAGAACAUUGGCUGGCACGAUGCAGACAUUGAACGGAAGCUGUGAUGUUGUCCUGUACUUACUGCUGUAUGAACACUAUUAUUGGGAUUCAAACCCUUACACCGUAUCGAGACGUUUCCUCUUUUACAAAUGGGAUGUUUUGGAAUACCAUCUAACACUUUAGCCUAGUAUGGAAGAGUUUAGUACUUGAGCUAUGCAGAUAAACUUUCCUUCCGAGACCAUAGACUAUGUUCUUUCUUCUGGGUAGGAUUUUUUUUUUUUUUUUUUUGAAACUGCAAGAGAAACAGUUUCCACCCACAGCAAAGAGAGUGCCAGUUCUUUG
This is a long non-coding RNA of Zalophus californianus (California sea lion), 2324 nucleotides long. NCBI's taxonomy places the organism in Eukaryota, Metazoa, Chordata, Mammalia, Carnivora, Otariidae. The record is from Ensembl.